RNAcentral lists this long non-coding RNA (307 nucleotides) under Ananas comosus (pineapple). RNAcentral's name for it is "long non-coding RNA (ACOM_LNC041233)". The record is from RNAcentral. Lineage: Eukaryota; Viridiplantae; Streptophyta; Magnoliopsida; Poales; Bromeliaceae.
UCACUCCAGGCAGUUUAGCAGUUCGGAAUAGUUGGAGCCCUUCUGAAUGUCCGUUGAGCUCAAAUUUGACAGGCAGGCUCAAUUUAACGUACUGAGUAAGAAUAUAUCUUAAGUUUUCAGUUUCGACCCCAUUUGGUCACCGAAAACUGUACCGAACUGUAAUCUUUAUUAGAUAGCUGUCGGAUUUUAUUCCUCACUUUACGGGUGUCAGAAAAAUAUUAAACUUUAAAUCUAGCCUCAUAAAAAUAUUUCUGACUUAUCCUCCAAUUUUCAUAAUUUUCUGAGACUGUGCAUUUUCUGCUAAUUU